AACGCUUUAGGCGUGCCUAACACAUGCAAGUCGAGCGAGAAAGCCCGCAAGGGUGAGUACAGCGGCGCACGGGUGCGUAACACGUGGGUAAUCUGCCCUGGAGCCCGGAAUAACUCCCCGAAAGGGGUGCUAAUGCCGGAUGAGACCACGGACGCUUCGGCGUCUGGGGGAAAAGGUGGCCUCUGCAAGCAAGCUAUCACUUCAGGAUGAGCCCGCGGCCCAUCAGCUAGUUGGCGGGGUAAAGGCCCACCAAGGCGACGACGGGUAGCUGGUCUGAGAGGACGAUCAGCCACACUGGAACUGAGACACGGUCCAGACUCCUACGGGAGGCAGCAGUGGGGAAUCUUGCGCAAUGGGCGAAAGCCUGACGCAGCGACGCCGCGUGAGGGAGGAAGGCCUUCGGGUUGUAAACCUCUUUCAGGAGGGACGAAGCUACUCGGGUGAAUAGCCCAGAGGGUGACGGUACCUCCAGAAGAAGCCCCGGCUAACUACGUGCCAGCAGCCGCGGUAAUACGUAGGGGGCAAGCGUUGUCCGGAUUUACUGGGCGUAAAGAGCGUGUAGGCGGCCAAACAGGUCCGUUGUGAAAACUGGAGGCUUAACCUCCAGACGUCGACGGAAACCGUGUGGCUAGAGUCCGGAAGAGGAGAGUGGAAUUCCUGGUGUAGCGGUGAAAUGCGCAGAUAUCAGGAAGAACACCAAUGGCGAAGGCAGCUCUCUGGGACGGUACUGACGCUGAGACGCGAAAGCGUGGGGAGCGAACAGGAUUAGAUACCCUGGUAGUCCACGCCGUAAACGAUGGGUGCUAGGUGUGGGAGGUGUCGACUCCUUCCGUGCCGUAGCUAACGCAUUAAGCACCCCGCCUGGGGAGUACGGCCGCAAGGCUAAAACUCAAAGGAAUUGACGGGGCCCCGCACAAGCAGCGGAGCAUGUGGUUUAAUUCGAUGCAACGCGAAGAACCUUACCAGGGCUUGACAUGCACUGGAAAACCGUAGAAAUACGGUCCUCCUUCGGGACCAGUGCACAGGUGGUGCAUGGCUGUCGUCAGCUCGUGUCGUGAGAUGUUGGGUUAAGUCCCGCAACGAGCGCAACCCCUGUCCCAUGUUGCCAGCGAGUAAUGUCGGGGACUCAUGGGAGACUGCCGGUGACAAAUCGGAGGAAGGUGGGGAUGAUGUCAAGUCAUCAUGCCCCUUAUGUCCUGGGCUACACACGUGCUACAUUGGCCGGUACAAAGGGCUGCAAACCUGUGAGGGUGAGCGAAUCCCAAAAAGCCGGUCCCGGUUCGGAUUGAAGGCUGAAACUCGCCUUCAUGAAGGCGGAGUUGCUGGUAAUCGCGGAUCAGCAACG
RNAcentral lists this ribosomal RNA (1345 nucleotides) under uncultured bacterium. RNAcentral's name for it is "bacterial SSU rRNA". It matches the Rfam family "Bacterial small subunit ribosomal RNA", at positions 32 to 1356 of the family's 1533-position model. The record is from RNAcentral.